UACGUAGGUGGCAAGCGUUGUCCGGAUUUACUGGGCGUAAAGGGCGUGCAGGCGGUCUGUUAAGUGCAGGGUGAAAGCUCCCGGCUCAACUGGGAGAGGUCCUUGCAUACUGGCGGACUUGAGGGGGGUAGAGGAAGCGGAAUUCCCGGUGUAGUGGUGAUAUGCGUAGAUAUCGGGAGGAACACCUGUGGCGAAGGCGGCUUUCUGGGCCCUACCUGACGCUGAGACGCGAAAGCGUGGGGAGCGAACAGG
This 252-nucleotide ribosomal RNA is filed under the name uncultured bacterium. Its description in RNAcentral is "partial 16S ribosomal RNA". It matches the Rfam family "Bacterial small subunit ribosomal RNA", at positions 524 to 776 of the family's 1533-position model. The record is from RNAcentral.